UUGUCCUUUGGGAGUAAGCUGAUGGGCAAU
This 30-nucleotide non-coding RNA is filed under the name Rattus norvegicus (Norway rat). Lineage: Eukaryota; Metazoa; Chordata; Mammalia; Rodentia; Muridae. The record is from RNAcentral.